This is a long non-coding RNA of Numida meleagris (helmeted guineafowl), 2552 nucleotides long. RefSeq lists it as uncharacterized. The transcript is spliced from 3 exons. The record is from RefSeq and is a predicted model, not a curated record. Lineage: Eukaryota; Metazoa; Chordata; Aves; Galliformes; Numididae.
CGCAAUUAUUAUAUUCCUAUUAAAAAAAAAUAAAAUAAAAAAAAGCAAGGGUGGAGGGGCGUAAAGCAAAACACCCAGAAGGAAAAGAAUGCGCCGUCGACUAAUUUAAACCAGUUCGAGUGGACGGGCUGUCAGUUCUGUGGCUCUGAGCUUGCUGUGCUGUGAGGAGCUUGGGAUAGGAACCGUGACCGCCCCCAGAUCGACCUUGUUCUACAAAAAGUGGAAUUCAGGAUGACUGAAAUGAAUGUAACUACAAAAAACUCAAACAACCAAAUGUGUACAUAUCAUUGUGCAAAAACAGUCAUUUCAUCACUCACUGAUGAUCAGCUCUGAUUUAUUUGAACAGACUCUCAGCGUCUGCCUUUCCUUCUUGCCCAGGACUUGAGUUCAGCAGGAGUUUUUCUUAGGCAAGGUCUUCAGGCUCUGACCCAGACAUAUCCAUCUGCAACAACAACAACUGGAAAGGGCUGUGUGCAUUGUAAUAGCGGAGUGAAUCAGAAAUACGGAGGAAGACUUUAAGUUUCCAUUUGUUCACAAACUCCUGUGCUUUGAUAUGACUGUAGGGCAUUUAGAAAUUUUUACACAUAGUGUUUGAAAUGUCCCAUGGAGGGGUGGGAUAACUCAGCACUGCAGCCUAAACCCACCCAAAUGCCCCACAGUGGCAUCUGAACAUUUCCUUGGAAGAAUGUCCUGGUGUCUUUUUCAUGCUGUUCUGACUUUGUUCUCAUGAAUAAUGGAACAAACACAGCGGUGCAGCCAGGACAAAUGUCACACCAAAUUCAUCAGGCAGACAGCAGCAGCAACACCAUUGGGUGUUCACCGUGCUAAAACAGGGCUAGGAAGCCUGGACCAGCGAGAAAGACACCUGGUUGGGAUGUACCUCUCAGCGAUCUCCCUGCUUUCCAGCAGUUUUUCCUAAUGACAUUUCUUUCAGAUUCCUGACUCUUCCAGUUCUUCUCAAUGUGCAACAUCACAGCUGUAUGCCUGUGGAACAGCGUGGAAAGGGACAAAUCCUCAGGAAUUUUGGAUCUGCAGCCUUCAAUCAGCCUCGGGGGAGCUGUCCAGGCUCAGAAGACAUCCAUCAAGUUCUUACUCCAAACAAAUCCUCUGUCAUCUGCCUCAUCCCGUACCCUCUGAAGCCGGUGGGAGUCCUACCAGAUAAUUCAAUAGAAAUUGGCCCAGGACUCACCUAAAUCACACCUGUUCCUUACUACAUAACGUGAUAAGCUGCAAAGGUUUGUUUUUUAAUUGGACACUUAAUACCAGCUUUGGCAGGUGAUUAAACUGUGAUUUACUUCCAAGGGAGAUAAGAAGUAAAUUUCAAAGGAGUUCUGGCUAUGUGGUUUAACAGCACAGUGAUUACACAGGGACAUUUUGGAAGAACAGGGCAAGGUAAGGAAGAACCAGGCAUGGGAGUUAUUUUUGUUCCUACACUCAGAAGACUACAUGCGAUUAGAAAACGACAACAAAUUAGAGCAACGUUUAAGCAGUUAGAAAGUUAGAGAUUCUGACUGGACAUCAAAAUUGCCUUACAAAUGUUUAAUCAGGAGCCAAUGAGGAAUGUGUUUCCUCUCCAGCUGAAAUGGAAGCAGCCAGUGCUAUCAGAACGUCGAUGUAUACAAAUCAAACAGUAAAGCUUAGCUGUCUCCCAUGGGUAAAAUAAAGAGGCAUGAAGUAGGGACUUGUCAGUCAUCAAAGCCCUUAUUAAUAGCAACUGCUGCUUAAGGAGCGUGGCUUCUCGUUGUUGCAAGCAGGAAGUUAUAGCACUCCAAUGAGAAAGCAAACAUUUCAUUUCAUGCAAAGCGAGCGUUACAUGUCAGAAUGAAAAAAAAAAGAAAGUAUGGGGAAAACAGAUUGCACUAGAAGUCUGCACAUGGGAUAUUAAUAAAGACUUUUUUUUUGCAUUCUGCAUGACAAAAAAUAACAUUAUCAAGCACAGGAUUAAAAUAGUCUAACUGUUAUCAGGGCAAAUUUGCAAUGAGGAAAGAGCAAGAGUUCACACCUGUCAAUAGAUGGGUUUCAUCUGCCACACUCACCUGGUUGCUCAGCAAAUCUUUUGGUAUUUUGCAAGGACUAAUUUCAACUGUAUGCUUCUGUUCAGCUGGUUGAGAUUACUGUAGGCUUCUUUGUGAAGGUGUCAGCUGCAGUCCUCUGUGUAGAAGGCAUCAUAGGUACUUGGGUUAAGAAAACUCUAUGACAGGGCCCAGGGUAGUCUAUCUUCUGUACUCAGAUAUGGAUGAUAGGUGCUGUUUUGGGCAUAGAACAAAGUGCCUGAAUGUGGCUGCUGUUCUGGGCUAGGCUAUCCCUACUGAGGCUUUCUUUUCCUCCACUUCGCUGGUGUUUCCACAUAUCCAGCAUGAAUACUGUUCUAGGUCCAUUUUAAAUGAGAUGUAGAAUUUUAAAAGUAGUACAACAGCAGUAACAGAGGCAACACGUAUUUCUACAGGAAGACAUGGUUGCUUUGGGAUGGAACUACAAAAUGGAAGAGCAAUGUGACGUGAACGAGAAUAUGAUCUGAUAACAAAAUAAAAGCAGUCUCAAAAAUCAUUAAA